AGAGUUUGAUUCUGGCUCAGGAUGAACGCUAGCUACAGGCUUAACACAUGCAAGUCGAGGGGCAGCGGGAAGUUAGCUUGCUAACUUGCCGGCGACCGGCGCACGGGUGAGUAACGCGUAUCCAACCUUCCCCUUAGUAGGGCAUAGCCCGGCGAAAGUCGGAUUAAUACCCUAUGUUUUUCCAAUGAGGACAUCUGAGCUGGAAUAAAGAUUCAUCGCUAAGGGAUGGGGAUGCGUCCGAUUAGCUUGUUGGCGGGGUAACGGCCCACCAAGGCGACGAUCGGUAGGGGUUCUGAGAGGAAGGUCCCCCACACUGGUACUGAGACACGGACCAGACUCCUACGGGAGGCAGCAGUGAGGAAUAUUGGUCAAUGGGCGCGAGCCUGAACCAGCCAAAAGUAGCGUGCAGGAUGACGGCCCUAUGGGUUGUAAACUGCUUUUAUAGGGGAAUAAAGUUUCCUACGUGUAGGAUUUUGUAUGUACCCUGUGAAUAAGGACCGGCUAAUUCCGUGCCAGCCGCCGC
This 523-nucleotide ribosomal RNA is filed under the name uncultured bacterium. RNAcentral's name for it is "bacterial SSU rRNA". It matches the Rfam family "Bacterial small subunit ribosomal RNA", at positions 8 to 518 of the family's 1533-position model. The record is from RNAcentral.